UUAACCCUACCAUGUCUUUAAUGGAGAGUCCGCAGGUUAUAAAUACUGUCACAAAUUUACGAAACAAAAUGCACAGGAAGCUUGCUCUCAUGGCUCAUGAAGAGUGAUGAUUGGACGUGGGAUUAUUCUGGACUUUCAGCGACGAGUUUUCCAGAUGGCAGGAAGCAAGAGUCAAAAUAGUGACGAAUAUUUCAGUUUCCGUGACGAAUUAAUUAUGAGAAUAGCGACGAUCAUGAGAGAAAUGUUUCGUCGAGCGGACAUAGAUAUGGCGUUGGAGUAUAUGUGACGGUUGCAUGACCGUCCGGGCAACGGCGGCGAACGUCUGAAUAUGGUCGGAGGUUAACGGCGCCGUUGCCAUCUUAUCAAAGGCAAGUCAUGUUGGCUAAUUUGGGUUCGACAACUACUCAAGAAUAUGGAUGAAAAUUAUAUUCCAGUUAAGUUGUCAUUUUCCUUUGUACUAGACUACUAGUAUUUCAUCAUUC
Long non-coding RNA from Ipomoea nil (Japanese morning glory), 482 nucleotides. RefSeq lists it as uncharacterized. Lineage: Eukaryota; Viridiplantae; Streptophyta; Magnoliopsida; Solanales; Convolvulaceae. The transcript has 2 exons. The record is from RefSeq and is a predicted model, not a curated record.